AAAGGUUCGCAAUGUUGUGACUGCAGCCAAUCAGGUCCAAAUUUUGAGAUUCAAAAGAUAGAAUAAACAAAUCUUGACAAGGAGAAAAAAAAUGAUUACACAUCGCUAAUAACAUCCUAGUACCAGACAAAUGAUAUCAAGCAAACCAAGGAGAUAGUUCACAAUGCUUGGAAAAAGUAACCUGAAACAAUUUAAUAUGGAAAACUUGCUAGAAAGGCCAAGAAAGAGAUUUGGAACCUGGUGAUUUCCCUUUUUCAUUUUCCUGAAUGCGUUCAACAGAGACAUCUGAACAAAGUCUGCAGGUUCAAAGUGCUAACGAAUAAGCUGCCAUUGGAGGGAUGCUCUUGCGGUAGCAACCGUAACAACUGCAGUGGAUGGUGAGUAG
Long non-coding RNA from Trifolium pratense (red clover), 385 nucleotides. RefSeq lists it as uncharacterized. The record is from RefSeq and is a predicted model, not a curated record. The transcript has 2 exons. Lineage: Eukaryota; Viridiplantae; Streptophyta; Magnoliopsida; Fabales; Fabaceae.